UGUGGGCUUUAGCGCGGUGGUCCCACCUGACCCCAUGCCGAACUCAGAAGUGAAACGCCGUAGCGCCGAUGGUAGUGUGGGGUCUCCCCAUGUGAGAGUAGGGAACUGCCAGGC
This 114-nucleotide ribosomal RNA is filed under the name Enterobacter cancerogenus. Lineage: Bacteria; Pseudomonadati; Pseudomonadota; Gammaproteobacteria; Enterobacterales; Enterobacteriaceae. The record is from RNAcentral.